CACCUGGUUGAUCCUGCCAGUAGUCAUAUGCUUGUCUCAAAGAUUAAGCCAUGCAUGUCUAAGUAUAAGCUUUAAACGGCGAAACUGCGAAUGGCUCAUUAAAACAGUUAUAGUUUAUUUGGUGAUCGAUUACUAUUUGGAUAACCGUAGUAAUUCUAGAGCUAAUACAUGCGUCAAGGCCCGACUUCGGAAGGGCUGCGUUUAUUAGAUAGAUUUAUGGAUAGAACCUAGUGCGAAUAAAUCUAUCCCUCGGAUUUUCAAGGGCCAGCGAGAACACUCCAGACACCCUGUUAGACAAGGUGCUAUUCCAGUUCGAAAACCCUAUCUCCAGAUGAUCUGAUUCCAGGGUAAGUCGAACUGUUAAAAAGAAAAGACAACGCUUCCUGGGGUCCCCUAUGGCGUGUCCGAGG
This 410-nucleotide non-coding RNA is filed under the name Perkinsus marinus ATCC 50983. RNAcentral's name for it is "Eukaryotic small subunit ribosomal RNA". It matches the Rfam family "Eukaryotic small subunit ribosomal RNA", at positions 1 to 300 of the family's 1831-position model. The record is from Rfam by way of RNAcentral. Lineage: Eukaryota; Perkinsozoa; Perkinsida; Perkinsidae.